GGCUGAGCACAAUGGCAGUAUUAUAGCCAAUGAGGUUUAUCCAAGAUGCAAUUAUUGCUAAUUGAAAACUUUUCCCAAUACCCUACUCUGACAACUUGCAAUAUAGUCAGCAUUGGCAAUUUUUGGCAGUCUCUCCAAAGA
Small nuclear RNA from Callithrix jacchus (white-tufted-ear marmoset), 141 nucleotides. Its record names the gene U4. It matches the Rfam family "U4 spliceosomal RNA". Rfam says of the family: U4 small nuclear RNA (U4 snRNA) is a component of the major U2-dependent spliceosome. The structure of U4 snRNA from yeast and human has been reported. U4 snRNA presents a k-turn RNA motif in the 5p-SL related to recognition of Snu13 protein. The record is from Ensembl. NCBI's taxonomy places the organism in Eukaryota, Metazoa, Chordata, Mammalia, Primates, Cebidae.